RNAcentral lists this transfer RNA (52 nucleotides) under Lygodactylus mirabilis. Its description in RNAcentral is "partial tRNA-Cys". The record is from RNAcentral. Lineage: Eukaryota; Metazoa; Chordata; Lepidosauria; Squamata; Gekkonidae.
CCAAAGUGCAAAUUUGGAGCAGCACCCAGAAGGUGCCCGGCUUCUCCCACCU